CGAGGACGAACGCUGGCGGCGUGCUUAACACAUGCAAGUCGAACGGACGAGAUCCCUCGGGGGUCAAGUUAGUGGCGGACGGGUGAGUAACGCGUGAGCAACCUGCCUUGGAGUGGGGAAUAACAACCGGAAACGGUUGCUAAUACCGCAUAACAUCGCGGCUCGGCAUCGGGCAGCGAUCAAAGAUUUAUCGCUCCAAGAUGGGCUCGCGUCCGAUUAGAUAGUUGGCGGGGUAACGGCCCACCAAGUCGACGAUCGGUAGCCGGACUGAGAGGUUGGCCGGCCACAUUGGGACUGAGAGACGGCCCAGACCCCUACGAGAGGCAGCAGUGAGGAAUAUUAGGCAAUGGGGGAAACCCUGAACCCUAGCGACGCCGCGUGAAGGAAGACGGUUUUCGGAUUGUAAACUUCUUUUAUGAGGGACGAUAAUGACGGUACCUCAUGAAUAAGCCACGGCUAACUACGUGCCAGCAGCUGC
Molecule: ribosomal RNA, 478 nt
Filed under: uncultured bacterium
Lineage: Bacteria
Description: bacterial SSU rRNA
Rfam family: Bacterial small subunit ribosomal RNA
Source: RNAcentral